This 1566-nucleotide ribosomal RNA is filed under the name Pseudomonas beijingensis. Its description in RNAcentral is "bacterial SSU rRNA". It matches the Rfam family "Bacterial small subunit ribosomal RNA". The record is from RNAcentral. Lineage: Bacteria; Pseudomonadati; Pseudomonadota; Gammaproteobacteria; Pseudomonadales; Pseudomonadaceae.
UAACUGCAAGGUUUGAUCUAUGGCUCGAUUGAACGCUGGCGCAGGCCUAACACAUUCAGUCGACGGUAGAGAGGUGCUUGCACCUCUUGAGAGCGGCGAGGGUGAUUAAUGCCUAGGAUCUGCCUGUAGUGGGGGAUACGCUCGGGAAACGGACGCUGAAUACCUGCAUACGUCCUACGGGAGAAAGCAGGGACCUUCGGGCCUUUGCGCUAUCAGAUGAGGCCUAGGUCGGAUUAGCUAGUGGUGGGGUUCAAUGGCUCACCAAGGCGACGAUCCGUAACUGGUCUGAGAGGAUGAUCAGUCACACUGAACUGAGACCACGGUCCAGACUCCUACGAGGCAGCAGUGGGGAAUAUUGGACAAUGGCGAAAGCCUGAAUCCACCAUGCCGCGUGUGUGAAGAGGUCUUCGGAUUGUAAAGCACUUUAGUUGGGGUAGGAAGGGCAUUAACCUAAUACGUUAGUGUUUGACGUUACCGACAAAUACCGCACCGGCUAACUCCUUGCCAGCAAGCCGCGUAAUACGAGGGUGCAGCGUUAAUCGGAAUUACUGGGCGUAAAGCCGCGCGUAGGGGUUCGUUAAGUGGAUGUGAAAGCCCCGGGCUCAUCCUGGAACUGCAUUCAAAACUGUCGAGCUAAGUAUGGUUACUAAUGGUGGUGGAUAUUUCCUGUGGUAGCGGUGAAAUGCGUAGAUAUAGUGAAGGAACACCAGUGGCGAAGGCGACCACCUGGACUGAUACUGACACUGAGUGCGAAAUCCGCGUGGGGAGCUCAAACAGGAUUUAGAAUACCCUGGUGUCCACGCCGUGUGUAAACGAUGUCAACUAGCCGUUGGAGCCUUGAGCUCUGUAGUGGCGCAGCUACGCAUUAAGUUGACCGCCUGGGGAUACGGCCGCCAAGGGUUAAAACUCAAAUGAAUUGACGGGGCCCGCACAAGCGGUGGAGCAUGAUCGUUUAAUUCGAAAGCAACGCGAAGAACCUUACCAGGCCUUGUAUCCAAUGAAACCUUUCAAGAUGGAUUUUGGCGCUUUCGGGACCACUCUAUACAGGUGCUGCAUGGCUGUCGUCAGCUCGUGUCGUGGAUGUAUCAGGGUUAAGAUCCCUAAACGAGGCGCAACCCUUGUCCUUAGUUACCAGCACUUAAUGGUGGGCACUCUCAAGGAACUGCCGGUACAAACCGGAGGAACGGUGGGGAUUGACGUACCAAGUCCAUCAUGGCCCUUUACGGCCUGGGCUACCACACGUGCUACCAAUGAUCGGUACAGAGGGGUUUUUUUUUGCACAAGCCGCUCAGGUGAGCUAAUCCCACAAAAUCACGAUCGUAGUCCCGGAUCGCAGUCUGUCAACGCGACUGCGUGAAGUCGGAAAUCGCUAGUAAUCGCGAAUCAGAAUGUCGCGGUGAAUACGUUCCCGGCCUUGUACACACCGCCCUCACACCAUGGGAUGGGUCACAGAAGUAGCUAGUCUAACCAUUCCGGGGGUGACGGUUACCACGGUGUGAUUCAUGACUGGGGUGAAGUCGUAACAAUGUAGCCGUAGGGGAACCUGGCGGCUGGAUCACCUCCUUA